This 549-nucleotide long non-coding RNA is filed under the name Trifolium pratense (red clover). Its description in RNAcentral is "long non-coding RNA (TPRA_LNC004966)". Lineage: Eukaryota; Viridiplantae; Streptophyta; Magnoliopsida; Fabales; Fabaceae. The record is from RNAcentral.
AGAAAAAGAAAAAAACAUUAAAUGCAUUGAUUAUCAAAUGAAUGAGAGAAGAGAAUGAAUGAGAGGCAAGUUAUUUUGAGGAAAGAGAAAGAUAAAUAAGUUUGGUUUUUUCAUGUUUAAGAUUAAUAUUAAUCGCUGCAAAAAAUCCCACUAACAAAGUCUUGAGAAUCGUAUUUAGUAAAAAAAAAAAAAGUUUUGAGAAUCGUAUAAUCAUUCUAUAACUAUGUUGGGCCUAUUCCAUUCUAACUAAGUCGGUCCUUCAACUAAUGGGCCUAUUCCUUUUUCUUCUUCACGCCGUCGUGAAACUCGCCCUCCACAGCCAUGCCGUCGUGAAAAUAUCCCAAAAAUACAAACCCCUACCGCUCCGAUUCGUAUCGCGCUUCUGACUCGUUAUCUCCGAAACUCAAUCCUCAAAUUAUCAAUUUCAGAUUCCGGUGUGUUUCUUCUGCAUUCUCAGUCGGUAGUUCCACCUGCAAACCUCGUGUCAUUCAGGUUUGCCUUUUGUUUUGUUUUCCUUUGAUUUUUAAUUGGUGAUUUUGUUUGCAUAUG